GGGUGGUAAUGCCGGAUGCUCCAGUUGAUCGCAUGGUCUUCUGGGAAAGCUUUCGCGGUAUGGGAUGGGGUCGCGUCCUAUCAGCUUGACGGCGGGGUAACGGCCCACCGUGGCUUCGACGGGUAGCCGGCCUGAGAGGGCGACCGGCCACAUUGGGACUGAGAUACGGCCCAGACUCCUACGGGAGGCAGCAGUGGGGAAUAUUGCACAAUGGGCGCAAGCCUGAUGCAGCGACGCCGCGUGAGGGAUGGAGGCCUUCGGGUUGUAAACCUCUUUUAUCGGGGAGCAAGCGAGAGUGAGUUUACCCGUUGAAUAAGCACCGGCUAACUACGUGCCAGCAGCCGCGGUAAUACGUAGGGUGCAAGCGUUAUCCGGAAUUAUUGGGCGUAAAGGGCUCGUAGGCGGUUCGUCGCGUCCGGUGUGAAAGUCCAUCGCUUAACGGUGGAUCCGCGCCGGGUACGGGCGGGCUUGAGUGCGGUAGGGGAGACUGGAAUUCCCGGUGUAACGGUGGAAUGUGUAGAUAUCGAAAAAAA
Molecule: ribosomal RNA, 533 nt
Filed under: Bifidobacterium longum subsp. infantis
Lineage: Bacteria; Bacillati; Actinomycetota; Actinomycetes; Bifidobacteriales; Bifidobacteriaceae
Also listed under: 2 other names
Description: bacterial SSU rRNA
Rfam family: Bacterial small subunit ribosomal RNA
Source: RNAcentral